UCUUUUUCCUGAUAAAUAAACUUUUUCAAUCGUCUUUGUAGAUUUUGUCUCCUCCAAACUGACCAUCGGUUCUUCGUCUCAUUUCUUUUGAACACCAUGGAAAUCUCCCAAUAUCCAUAGUAACUCUUUGCUCUCCUCUCUGGUUAAUUUCUCGUCUUCGUCCCACUUUAUCUCGGUUGACUCCGAUUCUUCUUCUUUCGGCUCUUCGUCCCACUUCAUCUCAGUUGAAUCCGAUUCCUCUUCUUCUGGCGAACUCACAAAAAAUUGGGGUUCUUCGAAAAAGUCAUCGUCGUCCUCUUCCUCUU
Molecule: long non-coding RNA, 305 nt
Filed under: Erythranthe guttata (spotted monkey flower)
Lineage: Eukaryota; Viridiplantae; Streptophyta; Magnoliopsida; Lamiales; Phrymaceae
Description: long non-coding RNA (EGUT_LNC001621)
Source: RNAcentral